GAUUUUUGUCAAAAUAAGGACUAUAACAUAAAAAUCUGAAACUUUUAAGGUUUGUUUUAAGGUUUGCCGUUGGAGUUGGAGAAAAACAUCCUCACCUCAAAUAUAAAGUUCAACAAACCUCAAACAUAAGGUUUCUCUUGGAAAUACUCUAAGAGGAACGUGUCGCUUUAGUCGAAUUUGUUUGAGUAUGUAUAUAUUCUAAACUCGAUGGCCAAAAGCCCUUUUAAAGUUUCUAUGUGUUAAACUCUCGUUAUUAAAGUUUGUAUGUUAUAAU
RNAcentral lists this long non-coding RNA (274 nucleotides) under Brassica napus (rape). RNAcentral describes it as "long non-coding RNA (BNAP_LNC010889)". Lineage: Eukaryota; Viridiplantae; Streptophyta; Magnoliopsida; Brassicales; Brassicaceae. The record is from RNAcentral.